Molecule: ribosomal RNA, 255 nt
Filed under: uncultured bacterium
Lineage: Bacteria
Description: partial 16S ribosomal RNA
Rfam family: Bacterial small subunit ribosomal RNA
Source: RNAcentral
CGUAGGGGUCGAGCGUUGUCCGGAGUUACUGGGCGUAAAGCGCAUGCAGGCGGCUCAUUACGCACGGCGUGAAAGCCCCCGGCUCAACCGGGGAGGGUCGUCGUGUACGGGUGAGCUUGAGGGUAUCAGGGGCUGGUGGAAUUCCCGGUGUAGUGGUGAAAUGCGUAGAGAUCGGGAGGAACACCUGUGGCGAAGGCGGCCAGCUGGGGAUACACCUGACGCUGAGAUGCGAAGGCGUGGGGAGCGAACGGGAUU